UGGGGAAUUUUGGACAAUGGGCGAAAGCCUGAUCCAGCAAUGCCGCGUGCAGGAAGAAGGCCUUCGGGUUGUAAACUGCUUUUGUACGGAACGAAAAGGCUCUUUCUAAUAAAGAGGGCCCAUGACGGUACCGUAAGAAUAAGCACCGGCUAACUACGUGCCAGCAGCCGCGGUAAUACGUAGGGUGCGAGCGUUAAUCGGAAUUACUGGGCGUAAAGCGUGCGCAGGCGGUUCUAUAAGACAGAUGUGAAAUCCCCGGGCUCAACCUGGGAAUGGCAUUUGUGACUGUAGAGCUAGAGUACGGUAGAGGGGGAUGGAAUUCCGCGUGUAGCAGUGAAAUGCGUAGAUAUGCGGAGGAACACCGAUGGCGAAGGCAAUCCCCUGGACCUGUACUGACGCUCAUGCACGAAAGCGUGGGGAGCAAACAGGAUUAGAUACCCCAGUAGUCCCUGAGCGGGCUGGCAAGGCGCAU
RNAcentral lists this ribosomal RNA (472 nucleotides) under uncultured bacterium. RNAcentral's name for it is "bacterial SSU rRNA". It matches the Rfam family "Bacterial small subunit ribosomal RNA", at positions 355 to 825 of the family's 1533-position model. The record is from RNAcentral.